GAAGUUGCUGAUAUAGUUGACUGAUAAUAAUUCCUUGAGGGCUGUUAUUGUUACGCAGUUUCUCAUUGGUCAAUAUCGUGCGUUCAACCGUGAAUUUGUCAGUUCCCUUUUUGCAUAUGUAGCAGAAGCUGUUAGCUAACUGGCAUUGUCUUCUUGCUUGUAUUGUGUGCAGACGUGUUUUAGAAAUUUUGCUUGAAAUUAAAUUAAAGUUCCACAGUAAUACGAGUACUCAGAUAUAAUAAAAGGAUAUAACAAUGGACAUGAGGAAUGAUUACACGUAUUCAAGUUAUUAUAAGGUAAGCACUUUAUAUAUUUAUCUUUUAACUGAUAUAAAUUGUUUUAAAUAUAAAAUACUCUAACAUUUAAUUUGCAUUUGCAAACAGACUUAUAUUUUAUGAAUUAUUUCGCUAAAAUUAUUCGGGCAAGUGAAUUUGAUACAUAGUUAAACGAAUAACAAAUUUUUGUACUGGUUGCCACAUUUUUCUUUUUAUUUCACAGCAUUUGUGACCAUGUUUACUUUAUUAAUUUAAAAAGAUGACAAUAUAACUUUAAUUUAAAUACUUCAAAGAUAUGAACUUUGAAACAUAUAUUUGAUACAAAAAAAUGAAUUAAUACGAUUACAGCAAUUUAUUCAUUUUUGUGGAAAUGUAUCGCGGUAAAUGUGCUUUAACUAUAAUUGCUAGUAAAAUAAUGUGCUUGUUCUCACAAAAAAGGUCUGAGAACACUAAAUCUAAAUAAACAAAAUCAUAUAUGCAAUAAAAGUAAUUACGUAUUGUAAGCCUUACUUAUUCGGCUUAUUCUAUGAUAUAUUAUUAAAAGUGUUGUUAUGCCUCUUAAUUUUAGUCGUAUUUGCAUUUUACUAUUAAGAACAAAUACGUGUAAAAAUUUAAAAGUCAUUAGAUACUGGCAAAGCGUACGUGCUUUAAUAAAACAUAAAUCUCGUAUAGAAAACUUCAAAUGGGUUGAAUAUAACUAUUUUUUUUUCUUAAUUUAAACUAAAUCUUCAGAAAUACGUUUAACAGGUGCUAGGAUAUAUUUAUCAUGACACCGGAUUUUGUAACAGGUGCGUGUGUAAACCUUUCAUGACACCGGUUUCUGAAACAAGUGCGUGGAGAAAUCUAUCAUGACACCGGUUUCUGAAACAGGUGCGUGGAGAAAUUUAUCAUGACACCAGUUAAUGUAAACAGGUGCGUGGAGAAACUUAUCGUGACACCGGUUUUUAUACUCUACAGACUGCAGCUGACAUUAAAUUGCAGAAACAAAACACAAAAUAUACAUAAAAAUACUCGUUUGACAAAGACUGUGUAUCCAUGUCAUCUGUCUCUAGGGACUGAUCAGAAUGCGAAGCACCUGAUUCCCAUACGGGAUUCAUUAUCAAGCAUCAGAAACAUCAGAUUCAUCAUUACUGCUUGAGCUAGAAUCAUCUGGAGGUAUUACAUAGUUAACCCUUCGUCUUGGAUAACCUUUGACAGCUUUACGUUCGGGCCAUUCAGCAAUGUCAGCAAGCCUUAUCUGAUCUGCAUGUACUUGAACAACAGAGCUGUCAAGCUGGUUCUUAAUAAGGUAUGUGACUGGACCUUUUUGUUCAAGAAUUCUGUAAUGCGAUUUCCAGCGAUCUUCAAGCUUG
Long non-coding RNA from Mercenaria mercenaria, 1627 nucleotides. RefSeq lists it as uncharacterized. NCBI's taxonomy places the organism in Eukaryota, Metazoa, Mollusca, Bivalvia, Venerida, Veneridae. The record is from RefSeq and is a predicted model, not a curated record. The transcript is spliced from 3 exons.